UGCCAGCCUCCGCUGUACUCCUGAUUGUGCGAGCGUUGUCCGGAUUUAUUGGGUUUAAAGGGUGCGUAGGCGGCCUAUUAAGUCAGUGGUGAAAGGUAUCAGCUUAACUGAUGACGUGCCAUUGAAACUGAUAGGCUUGAGUACAGACGAGGUAGGCGGAAUUUAUGGUGUAGCGGUGAAAUGCAUAGAUACCAUAAAGAACACCGAUAGCGAAGGCAGCUUACUAGGCUGAGACUGACGCUGAGGCACGAAAGCGUGGGGAGCGAACAGGAUUAGAUA
This 279-nucleotide ribosomal RNA is filed under the name uncultured bacterium. RNAcentral describes it as "partial 16S ribosomal RNA". It matches the Rfam family "Bacterial small subunit ribosomal RNA", at positions 506 to 784 of the family's 1533-position model. The record is from RNAcentral.